Molecule: long non-coding RNA, 974 nt
Filed under: Citrus maxima (pomelo)
Lineage: Eukaryota; Viridiplantae; Streptophyta; Magnoliopsida; Sapindales; Rutaceae
Description: long non-coding RNA (CMAX_LNC003125)
Source: RNAcentral
ACGAGAUGAGUGACGACAUUGAAAAAACUCAGAGCCUUCCUACAAAAAUUGUGUAGAAGACGAUCUACAAAAAUAUCUAGUAGUUUACAAUCUUACAAAACAGGUUGAAAAUUUGGCAUCAUUUUCAAAUCCCCAGGCAACCUACCAAGUCUUUCUGACAAUUUCAAAAUCUCAUUAAAAUCACCUCCAAUUAUCCAGGGUAAAAAAAAGAAAGAAUGCAAUCUAUGUAGUAGCUGCCAUGUAUGAUUUUCAAAGCAGCCUCCCGAUGCAUAUACAUUCCAGAAAAAUGCCAUAUGAAAUCAUAUUUCAUCCGUAUAGUGGCAUUAAUAUGGUGCCAACCAUAUGAAUGCACAAAAAAAUAAUCUCUCGCUGCCAGAGCAAAGUUAAACCCUCUCCCCACGUUUGCGGCUAUCAACAACCAAACAAUUUUCAAACCUCAAACAUGAAUACUUAUGUUGCAUCUCAGACACAGUUAAUCUAGUUUCACACAAAAAUAUAAUAUUUGUCUAUGUCUCAUGGGGAAUUUUUCAAAUUGCAUGGAAUGUCUCAGGAUUCCUCAAACCUCGAACAUUCAAACAUAAGACAUUUAUUGCGAUUGAUGGGGCUGAGACUUAGGACCCAUUGAUAAUUGUGAAGAAAUAUUAGUAGAAGUCACUGAACCACCAUCAACAACCCUAUGGGCAUAAUCCUCAGACGCUAAUCAUACUCGUUUGCCAGAGCCAUUCUUAUCUGCAACCCUCUAAUUAAUGAGCCUUUUUGAUGCCAUAGCCAAGGGAAUAGAAACUGGAGUAGAACUUUCUAUCAUUGCCAGACGCUUCCACUGCCUCCUUUUAGUUUUCCCACUUCUAGACAUGCUGAGUUUUGCAGCACCUCUUAAGAUUCAUGUUGAUCCUUAUUAGCACAACCCAAGGUAGGAUAAAAAUUGCGAGAAAGACCAUCAUUAACAUCCUUAUAGCCGGCAUUAGUUUUGAGAG